RNAcentral lists this long non-coding RNA (862 nucleotides) under Nicotiana benthamiana. Its description in RNAcentral is "long non-coding RNA (NBEN_LNC024531)". The record is from RNAcentral. Lineage: Eukaryota; Viridiplantae; Streptophyta; Magnoliopsida; Solanales; Solanaceae.
GAUCCUUUCUUUUUUUUUAAAAUCAUCUUAAAUUUCAAUGUUCCUUUAUUUAUCUAGAGAUCCAUAUCAAUAAGUUUAAUAAUCAAUUGAAUCAAGGACCCUUGCAUGUAAAUCUGAUCCUUGAACAUUGACAUACCUAACCAAAAUCCAGAUCCAUUUAUAAAAAAGAAUAAAAAUCCAAAUCCAAAAAAUUGAGACCAAUCCAGAAAGCAUAACCAGAUCAAAUCAACAGAAAUACGAAGAAUACAUGUAAAUCUGAUCCUUGAACAUUGACAUAACUAACCAAAAUCCAGAUCCAUUUAUAAAAAAGAAUAAAAAUCCAAAUCCAAAAAAUUGAGACCAAUCCAGAAAGCAUAACCAGAUCAAAUCAACAGAAAUACGAAGAAUACACAUACAACUGCCCAGUAUAGUCCUAGGAGUCUGGGACUAAGAAUACACAUGAAUAUCAAAUAAAGACGAAAACUUUAUUAAAAACCCAGAUCUAAAAGGCCUAAAUCCAGAUCUUAAAUUCCAUAAACUUCUCGAUCAACAAAAUAGAUACACAAAUAAACAAACUAUAUCAUAUCAAUUGUUAGCAACCGAACGAUGUAUGUGUGUGAGUGUGCCGAAAAUCAAUGAAUUGGAGAAGAGAUAUCUUACUGUGAUGAACAACGAAUCUGGAGAGAGCGAGAGAGAGGGGCAGAUCUAGAAAAGACUCUGCCCUUUAGAUAGAAAUGACAAUAAAAUGCGAAAGCUAUGGAUGUUCCUAUUAAAUUUAACAAUUUGAAUUUUCAAAUUAAUAAGUCUCGUCAGAUGUGGAAUUGGAUUCUUUUAAACUUUUUGGGUGACAAAUAGUAGUAAUAGAAAUUUUUUAGAUUCUUUA